ACGGAGGAUGCAAGCGUUAUCCGGAUUCAUUGGGUUUAAAGGGUGCGCAGGCGGAUUGGUAAGUCAGGGGUGAAAUCCCACAGCUCAACUGUGGAACUGCCCUUGAUACUGUCAGUCUAGAGUAUAGUUGAAGUUGGCGGAAUGUGUCAUGUAGAGAUGAAAUGCUUAGAUCUGACGCAGAACAACGAUCGCGAAGGGAGCAAGCUAGGCUAGAACUGACUCUCAUGCACGUAAGCGAGGGGAACAAAGAG
Molecule: ribosomal RNA, 251 nt
Filed under: uncultured prokaryote
Description: partial 16S rRNA
Rfam family: Bacterial small subunit ribosomal RNA
Source: RNAcentral